AAUCAUGAAUUUAAGCUUCAUUUAAGCUCAAUUUUUUCUACGUCAUUCCCCGAUUUUACACAAGACGCCUCACACCUCGUACACAAACCCACAAACACACGCACCCGUUUUCAAGAACACCUCAGAGAGCAUAUUAAGAGAUGGCAGAAGCAGAUGAUAUUCAGCCUCUUGUAUGUGACAAUGGAACAGGAAUGGUCAAGGCUGGAUUUGCUGGAGAUGAUGCUCCGAGGGCUGUCUUCCCCAGUAUUGUGGGGCGCCCACGUCACACUGGUGUCAUGGUAGGCAUGGGCCAAAAAGAUGCCUAUGUUGGUGAUGAGGCUCAAUCCAAGAGAGGUAUUCUGACUCUGAAAUAUCCAAUUGAGCACGGAAUUGUCAGCAAUUGGGAUGACAUGGAGAAAAUUUGGCAUCAUACCUUCUACAAUGAACUUCGUGUGGCUCCAGAAGAACAUCCUAUUCUGUUGACAGAAGCUCCUCUUAACCCCAAGGCCAAUCGUGAAAAAAUGACUCAAAUCAUGUUUGAGACUUUUAACACUCCGGCUAUGUAUGUCGCCAUUCAAGCUGUUCUUUCCCUUUAUGCCAGUGGUCGUACAACUGGAAUCGUUCUGGACUCUGGGGAUGGUGUUAGCCAUACAGUCCCCAUCUAUGAAGGUUAUGCACUCCCCCAUGCAAUCCUGCGUCUUGAUCUAGCUGGGCGUGAUCUCACUGAUGCCCUCAUGAAGAUACUGACAGAGCGAGGCUACUCUUUCACCACAUCUGCCGAGCGUGAAAUUGUUAGGGACAUAAAAGAGAAACUAGCUUACAUUGCUCUGGACUAUGAACAAGAGCUAGAAACUGCAAAAACCAGCUCGUCUGUGGAGAAGAACUAUGAACUGCCUGAUGGACAGGUGAUCACUAUUGGUGCCGAGCGAUUCCGCUGCCCUGAAGUACUUUUCCAGCCAUCAAUGAUUGGGAUGGAAGCUCCUGGCAUACAUGAAACUACUUAUAACUCUAUCAUGAAGUGCGAUGUUGAUAUUAGGAAGGAUCUGUAUGGAAACAUUGUCCUCAGUGGUGGUUCAACAAUGUUCGGUGGAAUUGCUGAUAGGAUGAGCAAGGAGAUUACUGCAUUAGCUCCAAGCAGCAUGAAGAUUAAGGUGGUGGCUCCUCCUGAGAGGAAGUAUAGUGUCUGGAUUGGA
Olea europaea var. sylvestris is the source of this 1172-nucleotide RNA transcript. It is a transcript of the gene named actin-85C-like, with no coding region annotated. Lineage: Eukaryota; Viridiplantae; Streptophyta; Magnoliopsida; Lamiales; Oleaceae. The record is from RefSeq and is a predicted model, not a curated record. The transcript is spliced from 4 exons.